RNAcentral lists this ribosomal RNA (407 nucleotides) under uncultured eukaryote. RNAcentral describes it as "SSU rRNA". It matches the Rfam family "Eukaryotic small subunit ribosomal RNA", at positions 523 to 947 of the family's 1831-position model. The record is from RNAcentral.
AUUUAAAUCUCUUAGCGAGGAACAAUUGGAGGGGCAAGUCUGGUGCCAGCAGCCUCGGUAAUUCCAGCUCCAAUAGCGUAUAUUAAAGUUGUUGCAGUUAAAAAGCUCGUAGUUGAAUUUCUGAUUAUGGAUGUAGCGGUUUCCGUUACAUUUGUAGUCAUCCACAUGAGAACCUUUUCUCGGCCUUCACUGGUCGGUUGGGGGAUCAUGUACUUUACUUUGAAAAAAUACAGAGUGUUUCAGGCAGGCGUUUGCAUGAAUACACAAGCAUGGAAUAAUGGAAUAGGACUAGGGUCCAUUUUAUUGGUUAUUGGACCAUAGUAAUGAUUAAUAGGGACAGUUGGGGGCAUUAGUAUUUAAUUGUCAGAGGUGAAAUUCUUGGAUUUAUUAAAGACUAACUUAAUGCG